AUUGAACGCUGGCGGCAGGCCUAACACAUGCAAGUCGAGCGGAUGAAGGGAGCUUGCUCCUGGAUUCAGCGGCGGACGGGUGAGUAAUGCCUAGGAAUCUGCCUGGUAGUGGGGGAUAACGUCCGGAAACGGGCGCUAAUACCGCAUACGUCCUGAGGGAGAAAGUGGGGGAUCUUCGGACCUCACGCUAUCAGAUGAGCCUAGGUCGGAUUAGCUAGUUGGUGGGGUAAAGGCCUACCAAGGCGACGAUCCGUAACUGGUCUGAGAGGAUGAUCAGCCACACUGGAACUGAGACACGGUCCAGACUCCUACGGGAGGCAGCAGUGGGGAAUAUUGGACAAUGGGCGAAAGCCUGAUCCAGCCAUGCCGCGUGUGUGAAGAAGGUCUUCGGAUUGUAAAGCACUUUAAGUUGGGAGGAAGGGCAGUAAGUAAAUACCUUGCUGUUUUGACGUUACCAACAGAAUAAGCACCGGCUAACUUCGUG
Molecule: ribosomal RNA, 484 nt
Filed under: uncultured bacterium
Lineage: Bacteria
Description: partial 16S ribosomal RNA
Rfam family: Bacterial small subunit ribosomal RNA
Source: RNAcentral